Molecule: ribosomal RNA, 777 nt
Filed under: uncultured Neocallimastigales
Lineage: Eukaryota; Fungi; Neocallimastigomycota; Neocallimastigomycetes; Neocallimastigales
Description: partial large subunit ribosomal RNA
Rfam family: Eukaryotic large subunit ribosomal RNA
Source: RNAcentral
CGCAUCUGUGCAUGCAGCAUAUCAAUAAGCGGAGGAAAAGAAACUAACAAGGAUUCCCUUAGUAACGGCGAGUGAAGCGGGAAGAGCUCAAAUUUGAAAUCUUCAAGGUUUUACCUUGACGAAUUGUAGUUUAAAGAAGUGUUUUCUGUUGAAGUCUUGGUAAAAGUUCUUUGGAAUAGGACAUCAUAGAGGGUGAGAAUCCCGUAUUUGACCAUUAUUUUCAGCUGUGUGAUAUACUUUCGAAGAGUCGGAUUGUUUGGGAAUGCAGUCCAAAAUGGGUGGUAAAUUUCAUCUAAAGCUAAAUAUUGGCGAGAGACCGAUAGCGAACAAGUACCGUGAGGGAAAGAUGAAAAGAACUUUGAAAAGAGAGUUAAACAGUACGUGAAAUUGUCAAAAGGGAAGCGUUUGACACCAGUGUUGUUUUCUCGAAAAUCAAUUAAAAAGAGUUUAGAUUUUGUUGUGUAUUGACCUUAACAGCUUGCAUUUCAAUUUUCUUGCUUUUUUUAAUGCACUUUUCGUUUAACAAGUCAACAUCAGUUUCUUCUGUUGUAAAAAGGUCAUUGGAAGGUGGCUUUCUUUUCGGAGAAAGUGUUUAUAGCCUUUGACUCCUGCAAUCGGAGAGACUGAGGUCUGCAGCGUAGAUCCUUCGGGGUUAGAUACAUUUGUGCUAAGCUACUAGCUUUUCAUAGACAACUUGUUGACUAUGAUUUAGUCUUGUAGCUUACUCGCUUAUGCUAUUUUACCUACGCUUAGGAUGUUGACGCGCGUGUGUGCGUG